Molecule: ribosomal RNA, 497 nt
Filed under: uncultured bacterium
Lineage: Bacteria
Description: partial 16S ribosomal RNA
Rfam family: Bacterial small subunit ribosomal RNA
Source: RNAcentral
GACGAACGCUGGCGGCGUGCCUAAUACAUGCAAGUCGAACGCUGAAGAGAGGAGCUUGCUCUUCUUGGAUGAGUUGCGAACGGGUGAGUAACGCGUAGGUAACCUGCCUUGUAGCGGGGGAUAACUAUUGGAAACGAUAGCUAAUACCGCAUAACAUUGGAUGCCACAUGUCUUUUAUUUGAAAGGGGCAAUUGCUCCACUACAAGAUGGACCUGCGUUGUAUUAGCUAGUAGGUGAGGUAAUGGCUCACCUAGGCGACGAUACAUAGCCGACCUGAGAGGGUGAUCGGCCAAACUGGGACUGAGACACGGCCCAGACUCCUACGGGAGGCAGCAGUAGGGAAUCUUCGGCAAUGGGGGCAACCCUGACCGAGCAACGCCGCGUGAGUGAAGAAGGGUUUCGGAUCGUAAAGCUCGGUUGUAAGUCAAGAACGGGUGUGAGAGUGGAAAGUUCACACUGUGACGGUAGCUUACCAGAAAGGGACGGCUAACUACGUG